GGUUCUGUGGCGCAAUGGAUAGCGCAUUGGACUUCUAAUUCAAAGGUUGUGGGUUCGAGUCCCACCAGAAUCG
RNAcentral lists this transfer RNA (73 nucleotides) under Alosa alosa (allis shad). RNAcentral's name for it is "tRNA-Arg". It matches the Rfam family "tRNA". From Rfam's summary of the family: Transfer RNA (tRNA) molecules are approximately 80 nucleotides in length. Their secondary structure includes four short double-helical elements and three loops (D, anti-codon, and T loops). RNAcentral also lists the same sequence under 1 other name. The record is from RNAcentral. Lineage: Eukaryota; Metazoa; Chordata; Actinopteri; Clupeiformes; Clupeidae.